Molecule: ribosomal RNA, 253 nt
Filed under: uncultured bacterium
Lineage: Bacteria
Description: partial 16S ribosomal RNA
Rfam family: Bacterial small subunit ribosomal RNA
Source: RNAcentral
UACAGAGACUGCAAGCGUUAUUCGGAUUCACUGGGCGUAAAGGGUGCGCAGGCGGUCGGGUGUGUCAGAUGUGAAAUCCCGAGGCUCAACCUCGGAACUGCGUCUGAAACUACUCGACUAGAGUACUGGAGAGGGUAACGGAAUUCACGGUGUAGCAGUGAAAUGCGUAGAUAUCGUGAGGAACACCAGAGGCGAAGGCGGUUACCUGGACAGUUACAGACGCUCAGGCACGAAAGCAUGGGGAGCAAAAGGG